GUCUGCCUGCCAGCCCCGUGCUCCCGCGGGGGGGCGGGAAUUGCCGCUGUCGCGCGCCUCCCAGCCCCCCUCGCUCAUUGGGCAGUUAGAAAGGGCGCGGUGAUCUCAUUGGACGGUCGUGCCUGUCAAUCGCGGCAGUUCAACCAUGGGAGGAUUUUCGCUACCCAUUGGACACUGGACCUAACUUACUUUCUCCUUCUGAUUGGCUCUCCUACCUGCCAGUUACAAUAAUCGAACUGCGGCCCCGCCCCGCCCUUUGCCAUUGGCUCUCUCGCUUAGAUGUGACUUCCCGUCGUACCGCUCCAAAUCUCGCGAGUUGCUCAGUCCCCGCCCCCUUUUCUCAUUGGUCACUAGUCAACCCAUCGCUUUGCUCUGAUUGGUCAGUCCCUACGCCGCUCACGAAGGAGAGCGCCCUCCCCCCAAAUUCCACUCCUGGGUUAUCAUUGGGCGAGAAAAUGUCCCCAGGCGUUUGAUUGGCUGUAGACAGGCAGAGUGUGAUUGGCUAGGGCAAAAAUCAAUCAGCUUUAUUCGGGCUCUGAUUGGUCUCCGCGGAGAGGGGGGCGGUCCCCGGCAGAGCUGGCGGUGCGGCGGCACCUGAGGGCUCAGAGUGAAGCGGGCUGUGGUGCAGAGCGGAGCUCCCUGUGCCUCCCCUUGGCUCUCUAGUGCACCCACCGGGCUGGGCUGAAGCCACUGCGGGGGAAGAGGCGGGAGCUCGGCUGUAUUCAGUGCCUGUCUAACCCUCUCCGUUUCCUUGUGCAUGUCCAGGGAAUGCAGGGAAGCCCCCGCAGCUCUCUGAGGCUCCCCAGGGCCCGACCCGCGCUCCUUCUGCCGGGUUUGGAACCCUGCGUAGGUGCAGGGACUGUCUCGGGCCACGGCCACUCCUCGCUCGGGACCACCAGAUCGCUUGAAAUAUUUCCUAUUUAAAGCUUCACAUUGCAGUGGUUUAUCCUGCUUUCACCAGCGGUCCCACGUUCCCUUGGGGAGCUGGAGCUCGGAGAUGGGGAAAAGGGCUAACUGGAGAAUUAUCCAGUCGUUCUUCUUGUCUGCCAUCCAAACACAUCAAAAUCCAGCAGUUCCUGAGGAGGAAUUCCCUGGAGCUACACUGAUGUGGGAAGGACUCGUCUGUCUGGAAGGACUGUUGUCUUCUGGUACAGGGCCAGAGACUCCUGGAGUCGUGGGAGGGUUUCAGUGGUGGGUAAAUGGCUGAUUGUGAAAUCCCUCAAGGUUGGAAAAGCCUUCCAAGACCAUCGAGUCUAACUUGUGCCUGAUCUCUGCCCUUGUCCCCAGCCCAGAGCUCCGAGUGCCACGUCCAGGUGUUCACUGAACACUCCGGGGAUGGGCACUCCAAACCUCCCUGGUUUUGCCAAGGGAGCCAAGGCCUGAGCUCCCUUUCCAUGGGGAAAUUCCUGCAGGUGUCCACCCUGAGCCUCCCCUGGCCCAGCUGAGGCCGUUCCCUCUCCUCCUGUCCCUGUUCCCUGGCAGCAGAGCCCGACCCCCCCGGCUGUCCCCUCCUGCCAGGGACUUGUGCAGAGCCACAAGGGCCCCCUGAGCCUCCUUUGCUCCAGGCUGAGCCCCUUUCCAGCUCCCUCAGCUGCUCCUGGGGCUCCAGACCCUUCCCCAGCCCCGUUCCCUUCCCCGGACACACUCCAGCCCCUCCAUGUCCUUCUUGUCAUGAUGAACCCAAAACUGACUCCAGGAUUAGAGGUGAGGCCUCAGCAGCACCAAGAACAGAGG
This 1734-nucleotide long non-coding RNA is filed under the name Cyanistes caeruleus (blue tit). Its description in RNAcentral is "lncRNA (ENSCCEG00000006445.1)". Lineage: Eukaryota; Metazoa; Chordata; Aves; Passeriformes; Paridae. The record is from RNAcentral.